Long non-coding RNA from Nicotiana tabacum (common tobacco), 1863 nucleotides. RefSeq lists it as uncharacterized. NCBI's taxonomy places the organism in Eukaryota, Viridiplantae, Streptophyta, Magnoliopsida, Solanales, Solanaceae. The record is from RefSeq and is a predicted model, not a curated record.
UCUUUCCAAUUUGACUCCGAAUUUCCCGAAAUUCAACUCUGACCAUACGUACAAGUCAAUACACCUGAAAUGAAGCUGUUCAUGACUUCCAACUGCUGACGAUGCGCUAGAGAUCAAAAUGACCGGUCGGGUCGUUACAAAGGUGUAUGAAAAAAUUCUUCAAUAAAUUGGACUGUGUCUUUGGUUUCUUAUGCAUCUUCUGGAGGUAACAGAGAAAAUAGAAAAUUACGAAUGCAUGUACUAUCAUAUUCUCAACAGUGGAGAGCCGAAUGUUUGACACGGUUAGCAUCUGUAAUUCUUUACAUCUUUUUCACCACACAGCAUGAGAGAUUAAAAUUAUAGAGAAAAAGUUUGACAAGUUGUUGUUGUGACUAUGUGGAUUUUCUGUUUUUCAUUUUUUUUUAUGAAUGAAAUAAACUGAUAUUACCCAAAUCUAUUUUGGGACUUGAAAAUUUAAAUGUGGUAUAGAGAAUUUCAGAUACUUGAAGUAUAUUCUUGGUUCUCUUUGUUCUCAUAGAAUCUCCUUAUCGCUAGCUAUAUAUAAUUGUGUCUCAUUUGCUAAAUUUUCAUGAAUUUCCAACACAAUCACCCGAGAAAAUAAUAGUCUCAAAUUUGCUUAUAGAUAUUUGUAUUUGUAUGAUACCUUUGGAUGGAACAUUACCAAAAAAUUACGAGUUAGUUGACUGAUGUAUGGAGCUUCUGUAAGGUGAUUGCUUUGAAAACAUUCAAAAUAUGGAUUUCUUUAUUUAGAUGAAAUUUGUAUGAAUAUUUCAUACAUGGGACAGUAACAUUUAAACCUUAAGAAUUUUGCUCCAACUUAUGCAAUUUGUGAUUGUAACUACUUGGACUUGUCUCAUUUUUGUUCAAAAUAUUGGACAUAACUGCAUUCAAGUUAUUACUGCUUCUUGUAUACAGGAAGUGACUAAUUUGUGUUAUUUUCUACUUUGAUUAAUAAAUUUGGUACAUUUGUGUGAUCUUUUCAUUUAAAGUUCAGUCCCUUUUGAAGAAGAGAUACAUGAUAGAGACCUAAGACUCUAAUGAAGACUUCAACAUCUUUCAGGAUGAAAACAUUCUUCUAUAUGAAGACUUCAACAUCUUUCAGGAUGAAAACAUUCUUCUAUAGUCGUUAGCUUAUAGGAAAACCUUGCCUUCUUCUUUAGGAAAUAUUGCUAACAGGUUAUGGUGGUUAGGGAUAUUUUGGUAGCAUUUUCAGCAUCAACGACCUCUUUGAACAUUUGCAGCGAGGUAAUAUUUGGACUUUUCAGUUCAAGAAUUGAAUGUCUUUGUUGAAUUUCGAAUCUUUUACUUUUCAAGAAAACAUGUUUAUGUUUUAAGAUGAUAGUUUGAUUGAAGGAUUCUAUUGCAUAUAGUAUAAUUCUUUCAUAACUUUUGUUCUGUUUAUGGAUUAUAAAUCUUGUUAAUGAAAAUUUGCUCACUCAAGAUGGAGAUUGUUUGGAUUGGGUAAUUCCUCUACAUUGCAGAGAUGAUCUUCUUAUCUUUGGAAACACUAAAUUCUGAUAGAAUUUCCUCUUGCUCUUCAGACGAAAUCUUUUCUGCCAAAGUUGACCCCAAAAACUUGAGAUUGAGGGGAAGUCUCUACGAAGUGGAAUGUAAUGACAAUGAAACUUUUCAGAGUAACAAUGGAGAUAGUUUGGGCAGGGGUAGUUCUUUAACAUAUAAAGACUAUCGGCAUGGCAGUUCAUUUACAUGUAAAACUAUAUAGAUACUAUCAUCUUUACACUUAAGCAUCUAAUAUCAUAAUGCGCAAUGGAUGUAAAGAAUGUAUUAUUCGUCAUAAUGCAACAUCAUGAUGAAUAUUUUGCUCUAAAAUGUAUGUAAUAAUCGAGCAAUUAGUAUAUGAUA